Molecule: non-coding RNA, 73 nt
Organism: Trichonephila clavipes
Lineage: Eukaryota; Metazoa; Arthropoda; Arachnida; Araneae; Nephilidae
Source: the annotation of a GenBank genome assembly
GUCCCUGUAGCGCAAUGGGUAGCGCGUUUGACUUCUAAUCCAGAAAUCGUGGGCUCGAAUCCCUCCAGGGAUG